GACGAACGCUGGCGGCGUGCUUAACACAUGCAAGUCGAACGGAAAGGCCCUGCUUUUGUGGGGUGCUCGAUUGGCGAACGGGUGAGUAACACGUGAGUAACCUGCCCUUGACUUUGGGAUAACUUCAGGAAACUGGGGCUAAUACCGGAUAGGAGCUCCUGCUGCAUGGUGUGGGUUGGAAAGUUUCGGCGGUUGGGGAUGGACUCGCGGCUUAUCAGCUUGUUGGUGGGGUAGUGGCUUACCAAGGCUUUGACGGGUAGCCGGCCUGAGAGGGUGACCGGCCACAUUGGGACUGAGAUACGGACCAGACUCCUACGGGCGGCAGCAGUGGGGAAUAUUGCACAAUGGGCGGAAGCCUGAUGCAGCAACGCCGCGUGCGGGAUGACGGCCUUCGGGUUGUAAACCGCUUUCGCCUGUGACGAAGCGUGAGUGACGGUAAUGGGUAAAGAAGCGCCGGCUAACUACGUG
RNAcentral lists this ribosomal RNA (468 nucleotides) under uncultured bacterium. Its description in RNAcentral is "partial 16S ribosomal RNA". It matches the Rfam family "Bacterial small subunit ribosomal RNA", at positions 28 to 507 of the family's 1533-position model. The record is from RNAcentral.